RNAcentral lists this small RNA (248 nucleotides) under Microtus ochrogaster (prairie vole). RNAcentral's name for it is "7SK RNA (ENSMOCG00000005768.1)". The stretch from base 1 to 184 matches the Rfam family "7SK RNA". From Rfam's summary of the family: 7SK was discovered as an abundant small nuclear RNA in the mid-70s but a possible function has only recently been suggested. Two independent studies have found that 7SK RNA binds the CDK9/cyclin T complex (known as elongation factor P-TEFb). P-TEFb activates transcription by phosphorylating the C-terminal domain of RNA polymerase II. Lineage: Eukaryota; Metazoa; Chordata; Mammalia; Rodentia; Cricetidae. The record is from RNAcentral.
AUAUGAAAGGGUGGCCUGGUUCUAAGUUCUCUCAUUCCGCUGAUUGCAGUAGUUGAUCUGGCUGAUACAGCUGGUUAGACGGAGUCCCCUUAUCCCUCCUGUGUCACGAGUGUUCCUUCUGAAGCUGCACACUCAGGUGAAGAAACAAUCUUCUCUGAGAAGGAAGACCAUCCUUCGUGCUGCGCACUCCUCCUCAAGCCUCCAGAGCAGCUCCCAAGAAGUUUCCUCUGUGAACUGAAAGCUUUCUU